Long non-coding RNA from Syngnathus acus (greater pipefish), 3063 nucleotides. RefSeq lists it as uncharacterized. The transcript is spliced from 5 exons. Lineage: Eukaryota; Metazoa; Chordata; Actinopteri; Syngnathiformes; Syngnathidae. The record is from RefSeq and is a predicted model, not a curated record.
AUUCAUAUAGCGCCGCUGCUCCCUUAAAAUGCACCUUUUGAAGGAAGACAGUGUCUCAUAACUUUGCGUUGUUGACAAUUUAUGUUAACUUUUAUUUUGAAGGGCGAGAACAAAGCUUGAAAGACGGGAAGUAAUCGGUGGUUGCUUUCCCCUGUCACUGUUGCUAGUUAGCAGUAAACGUUAAAACCACCAGCAGUACUAAGGAUUAACCAACACUGCUUCUAAAGUAAUUCCGCAUCUUCGCCCGAAAGGUGGAAUCGAACCACUCUGCCGCUAGGCAGCUACAGGUUUGAAGCCUGCACCCCGGACCACCGAGGGUCAUCCGGGCAUUUGAACAAGUUGCCAGCCAGCAGGAUAUAGCACAAAUAUCUACUACUAUUUCGUGGUGACGGUUUCGUGGUAUUGUCAUCGGGCUGAGGUGGGAGAGGGCAGCACAUGUGGGCGUCGCAGAUCUUAUCACAAGCCAAUCUGCAGGCUGGCCCCGGACCUGGGCAAGUUGGAUCCUUGGGGAGGGCAGAAGAGGGAGCAAACUCAGGUUGCACUGUGCAGCAGCUCACCCCGACACCCUGCAGGACCUUGGUGACCCCUGACAUGAGAUCAGCACACCUGAAUAUGUCAGUGAAAAAGCACCUGUGUACAGGAAAGUCAGCGUGACAGAGCACGUGGACUGAGGCCACCAAACACGAAUCGGAUAACUCCCAGAUGUGAAGCUCAUGCAACUCCUCCACCCCCGGCACGAUCCCGAUCCGCUUCCUCACGUCCGAUAGACUCACGUGCGGAGGCGCGGCCUGCAUCAGCAGCCGCCCGUACCUGUGCAUCUGAGGAGGGCUACACAUAAAUGCCACACACGCAGUAACUUGAUCUUUACGUGAAAAAAACCCCCCACAGUCUUGACACAAUUAAUUAAAUAGAACUUUAAAAAAUGAACAGUUCAUGUCACGUUACAAUAAUUGAAUGGCCACUGUGUUGCUCUUUCUGGUGUGCUAACCUUGGCCACCUGGGGGCAGUAUAAUACAGACUGUUCAUUGCUAUGUCUCAAUUCUCAGCUAAUCAGACAGCCCUCAUAUUAAGAAUUAUAUAUGACUGAGUUCUGUCCCAUUCUAUCCUUCAAAGCAUUUUUAAAAUCCGGUUUUCCAAAUCUUUGUUCGUGCACUUGUUUUUUGUGGUUGGAUUUUUAGUAUUGUUCAUGUUCAUACCUGCGGCACAGCACCGCCCACCAGGAUGAUGGCAGCCAAAACGGCCAGGCCGGGAUCCAGGUACACCAAGAGGCUGCAGGCCCCCGGAGAAUGCCGGAAGUCAGGGCCUGCCAGCAGCAUCACUAAACUAUUAACCAGGACUAGCACUGAUGUGGACAGACCCUGCACUACCAUCACCACAGAAGCAGGACACAGAGUCAGCCGCUGCCUAACGUCCCGAGUGACUUCUUUGCCCAACUUUGGCUCCUCUGUCGUCUUCUCAGCAGCCACGCCUCCUCCCGCCGAGGUCACUGGGUUGCACGGGACAAGACCCCGGUUGUGAAGCGAGCGUGCAGUGGUCCCGCUCUGAUCUCCACUGGCUUCACACGGGCCUCGCUCGGAGCCCUCCUGAGACAUGGCUCCUGAGCCCCGGCCCCCCGCCGCCUCCAGGUCAUCACCAGCACCACAACGUUGUGCAGCAAACCGACCACGCCGGCCGCCGCCAGCAGCCAGGGCUGCUCCACAGGGUGCAUCCCCACAGAUUGGUGGCUGACAAUUUCCAACAAGCAGGACACGCACAAGGAAACGAGGAGCAGGGCGGAGACAAAGACCCCCACCGGCCGCCUCCUGCCGUCAGGGUAGGACGCGGCGUACGGCGGAACCCCGGCGAGGUCGGUCGUCUCUGAGGACAGCCUUGAAGCAGAAGGACUCGCUGCAUUUUGAGGCUGAGGAAGAGCCAUGUGACCGAGGACAAAGAGCGUGUGGAAGCCAUCCACCAGCAAGAUGAAGGACCUGCACAGCUGACCGGUGAUCAGUUUCAGAACCAGCACCAGGAUGGUGAUGACCAGCAGGCAGUAUUGUGAGAGCUUCUUCAUGUCUGCACUCAAACGCAUCGUCAAUACAAUUAAAUAAAUACAAUCAGAAUGAAUGUAGAAGAAUUAAAGGGUUUAUGCAUCAUGAUUUAAUGCUGCAAUCCAAUUCAAUGUGCUGCUCCUCUUUGUGUCCAUAAUAAUGUAUUCGAUUUACAUGACACUUUUCUGCUUGUUUAAAAAAAACAUACAUUCAGCAUCAUGGGUUAUGUACAUGAUGUAGUUUCAGUCAUUCUUGACGAAUGGAAAUACAUUCAUCAGUACUAUCUUCAAAAUGGAAACAUCAUAAUUACCUGUGAGGAAGCGGGUCUAAGCAGCCAAAAGAGAAGAGAUGGUGGAAGGACCCGCGUGUACACCAAUCCAAAAGGAAUGACGCGGCAGCUUUCCUUUCCGUCCAGUGGGCUGCGAAUCAACAGGUCGAAUGGAGUUUGACACCGUGGAUAAAUCCCCACUGCCUGCCAGCACAUUCCUGAAGUACAACUAAGCCCACCCGGAGACCCGGCGAGGACACUUUUGAACACUCCCACAACCCCCUGGAGGGAAGCACGGGACGAGCAGCAAGGAUGGCCGAUCUGCACCCCCCUUUUCCCACAUCAAUUGUGGUAUAUACAUGAACUCUCAGUAAUUAUUACAACGUUCAAAGUAUCAGUCAAGAAUUUACACAGGAUUAAAUUUACCAUGGGCUACAGUCAUGAUCAAAUGGAGAAAAAAAUAUAUAUACUACCCACUCCCAAGAAGUGGACAUCCCUGCAAAAUUGAUGACAUGACAAGAGGCCAAGAACAACAAUGAAGGAGCUGCAGGAAUUUCUGGCAAGUGCUGGCCGUUUAGUAAAUGUGAAUAAAUGUACGAGUUGAGCUGUACAAGUUAACGCUCACGAUAACAGAAAAUGCUUUAUUUUGGUCACAAGAACAUGACAGGGGUGUGUAGACUUUUUAUAUCCAGUUUUUAGCAUGGGCAUUCUCAUGAAAAAACGUAUAGCGCAUGUAUAUUGAUCAUAAUUGUUGGAUUAAUUUAGAUA